RNAcentral lists this ribosomal RNA (390 nucleotides) under uncultured bacterium. RNAcentral's name for it is "bacterial SSU rRNA". It matches the Rfam family "Bacterial small subunit ribosomal RNA", at positions 30 to 414 of the family's 1533-position model. The record is from RNAcentral.
AGUGAACGCUGGCGGCAGGCCUAACACAUGCAAGUCGAACGGCAGCACGGCAGUAGCAAUACUGUGGGUGGCGAGUGGCGGACGGGUGAGGAAUACAUCGGGAUCUACCCUGUUGUGGGGGAUAACGUAGGGAAACUUACGCUAAUACCGCAUAAGAACUGAGGUUGAAAGCGGCGGACCGCAAGGCGUCGCGCGAUUGGAUGAACCGAUGUCCGAUUAGCUAGUUGGCGGGGUAAAGGCCCACCAAGGCGACGAUCGGUAGCUGGUCUGAGAGGACGACCAGCCACACUGGAACUGAGACACGGUCCAGACUCCUACGGGAGGCAGCAGUGGGGAAUAUUGGACAAUGGGCGCAAGCCUGAUCCAGCCAUGCCGCGUGAGUGAAGAAGG